GGCUCAGGAUGAACGCUGGCGGCGUGCCUCAUGCAUGCAAGUCGAACGGGAACACUUUUAGUAGCAAUACUGAGGGUGUUCUAGUGGCGAUCGGGUGAGUAACACGUAGGUGACCUGCCCCGAAGAGGGGGAUAACGGUCCGAAAGGACUGCUAAUACCCCAUGUGGUUGAUGAUUCAUUUCAUCAAUUAAAGUUUCCGCAAGGAGUAUGCUUCGGGAGGGGCCUGCGGCGGAUUAGAUAGUUGGUGGGGUAAUGGCCUACCAAGUCGAUGAUCCGUAGCUAGUCUGAGAGGACGAUUAGCCACACUGGCACUGACACACGGGCCAGACUCCUACGGGAGGCAGCAGCAGGGAAUAUUGCACAAUUGGCGAAAGCCUGAUGCAGCAACGCCGCGUGAGGGAUGAAGGUCUUCGGAUUGUAAACCUCUUUUACAGGGGACGAGUAAGGACGGUACCCUGUGAAUAAGCAACGGCUAACUACGUGCCAGCAGCCGCGGUAAUACGUAGGUUGCGAGCGUUAUUCGGAUUUACUGGGCGUAAAGAGCACCGAGGUGGCUUCUUAAGUUGGAUGUAAAAUCUCCUGGCUUAACUGGGAGGCGCCAUUCAAAACUGAGGAGCUUGAGGUCAGCAGGGGAAGGUGGAAUUCCCGGUGUAGUGGUGGAAUGCGUAGAGAUCGGGAGGAACACCAGUGGCGAAAGCGACCUUCUGGGCUGCACCUGACACUCUAGUGCGAAAGCGUGGGGAGCAAACAGGAUUAGAUACCCUGGUAGUCCACGCCCUAAACGAUGGAUACUAGGUGUGGGAGGUAUUGACCCCUUCCGUGCCGAAGCCAACGCGUUAAGUAUCCCGCCUGGGGACUACGGCCGCAGGUUAAAACUCAAAG
This 882-nucleotide ribosomal RNA is filed under the name uncultured bacterium. RNAcentral's name for it is "bacterial SSU rRNA". It matches the Rfam family "Bacterial small subunit ribosomal RNA", at positions 21 to 906 of the family's 1533-position model. The record is from RNAcentral.